Molecule: non-coding RNA, 2919 nt
Organism: Podarcis lilfordi (Lilford's wall lizard)
Lineage: Eukaryota; Metazoa; Chordata; Lepidosauria; Squamata; Lacertidae
Source: the annotation of a GenBank genome assembly
AGCAUGCUGAAAAAGUGACAGUUGGGGCAGUGUGGCCGGAGAGAGAGAAAAGAGAAGAAAUGGAGAAUAAAAAUUGUUUUAACAAAGUGCUUGUGUUGUAGACACAAAUUGUGAAGCUGGAGUGUGGUCUUCUUCCUGUCACAUGCCUUUUUUUAUUCUCCAGUGUCCUGACUGUGAUCCUGUUUGAGCACCUGAGGGACAACAAUCACUGUCUGAUACACCUUUUCAACUAUUUCUGUCUGUGCAGUGCCUCUUAGCAGUUUCCCUGUUCCUAACACCAACUUCUGCUACUGCUUCAACAGAUCUCUCUCUCUCCUCCACCCCCCAGUGUUGAAUCGACUCUUUUAUCAAUUUCUCUCCCAAUCCCCCUAGAGCCUAACCAUCUUUUUACCCAGGCAGUACCUCUAUUCUGGUUUUGCAUAUCUACCUACCCUUUCUCUACUUCUAGGUUCUUGUGGCUUUUUCUUCUGCUUCCCAGGUAAUAUUUAUUAGGGUUUCAAAAGAACAGAGUUAGAAAACAGAAAAACACUACAGGCAAAAUAAAAUUGUCACAGCUUGGAGAAAGUGAUGACGGUAAUUCACAAUGCCAUAUCAAAUGGGUUUUGGUGGUUUUUUUUCCAUUAAGAGAAAAGAAGUGAUCUGGGGUAAAUAAAGUGUGUUGCAGCCUGUGUGACUCUUGGGCCGGUCACUCCCUUUGUAGUCUAACCUACUUCACAAUAAUGUUGCGAUGGUAAUGUUGGAAAAUGAGAAAGAACCAUGGAGGCUGCAUUGAGCAUCUCAGUGGGAAGCUGUGCAAGGUAUGUAUGUAAAAUUAAUAAUAGAUUUUUUUUAAAAAAAAAACUUUUGUGUUGGAUUAAAUUUAUUUCUUUUCAUAUUUGUGGGCUGCCUUGUGCAUUGUAUAGUAGUGGCUAGGCAAGAUUUAAAAAAAUCUUAAUAGGUAAGGUAAAGAUAAAGGGGGACCCCUGACAAUUAGGGGUUGCGGCACUCAUCUCGCUUUAUUGGCCAAGGGAGCCGGCGUACAGCUUCCGGGUCAUGUGGCCAGCAUGACUAAGCUGCUUCUGGCUAACCAGAGCAGUGCAUGGAAACGCCGUUUACCUUCCUGCCGGAGCAGUACCUACCUACUUAUCUACUUGCACUUUGACAUGCUUCUGAACUGCUAGGUUGGCAGGAGCAGGGACCGAGCAACGGGAGCUCUGAUCGGCAAGCCCUAGGCUCUGUGGUUUAACCCACAGCGCCACCCGCGUCCAUAACAGGUAGAUAGUGACAAAAUCAAGUCAGUUGUCUUACAUCAGCUUUAAAUGUAUUAAGCAAAUCUACAAGCAAUAGAAUAUAACUGUUUUGUCUUGGCGUUUGCGUAUUACCUCUGUCCACUAUAUCCACUUCUGUAAUCUGCUGCUAACAUGCACAUGCAGAAAAAGCAUUUCUCAGCAUAUCCCACCAUCUGAUCCUGGAAACUUACAAUCCAUUUUCAGGACUGAGCAGAUAAGUGAUUAUGUGUCCAUUCUUGCGUGCCACCAAUCUUGAAUACUUGGAGACUUGUACAGGGCAUGACCCUUGAUGCCCGUACAGGCCUUUUAGAUUUUCCACUGCCACCAAACCUGUUUGACUGAAUUGCAGGUUAAAAAGGCAUUGCAUCUGUAAUUCUUGAGCUUUAAGGAGCAUGUCCUUUCCCUUAAUGAAAUACCCUGCCUGUUCCAUUUGUAAAGAAACCAAAGACUCCUAAGGUUUAUGAUCAAGUUGUAAAGAUUUUAUUUACCCCAUAUUUCCUGCUGGGUUAUUUAUGAGGCAUUUUGUCAGACCUCAUAAAGCUGCCUAGUAAAACAUAUUUUCUUACAACAAAAAUAAAGUCAUUUGUGCAAAACAUCUUGGGACCACAGAGGGCAGACCUGAUGGGAUACACACACGUUCAGACAUCAUGGACAGGGGGUACCCCCACUGAACUUUGUUGAGUCCCAUUAUUUAAUUAUAGUUUUCAAAGACUAAAAUUUAGUAACUAAAUCCCGGUAUGAUGGAUUGGGGGGGGAAUGAUCUGUAAAAUGGAAAAGAAUCAUCUAUUUAACUGGUGCAAAAAUUGGGACUCACGUUACAGAAAACUUUAGUUCAUAUUGGUGUCUAAAAUCUAUGCUAACAUGUCAAAUCUAAUCUAUGUCCUUUUUUCUACUUCUUCUCAAUCUUCAAGAUUUCUUGGUACAUCUACAGUUAUCAAAAGAACCAGAAUAGAAGCCCUCAUAUAUCUGAGGACUGAAAGCUUAACAAUACUUCCCUGGGAGUAAGUUCAUUGAACUUUAGCCUCUGGAUAAACAUACGGUACAUAUAUGACUGAGCUGCUAAUGCAGUAAUCGCCAGACUUGGGCUGCAUACAUAACAUACAUUUUAAGUGCCUUUAAAGCACAUUGCCCCACAAAAAAAUCCUAGGAACUCUAGUUUGUUAAGGGCGCUGUUGAUUGCACCUUUGUGAGGGGUAAACUACAGUUCCCAAGAAUCAGGUAUGUGUGUGCAGGCGCCUUGGAUUUUAAAAAAGUAAAACGCUCUAUUGAUUAUGUUUAGUUGAAAAUAAGUUCUAUUGAUUUCAGUGGGAGUUAUUUUCAAGCUAAGCAUGCUUAACGUUACAGUCCUUGUCCCACUGACUUCAAACUAGUGACUAUUUGUUCUCAGAGAGAGGUUUUUAGGGGGGCAGAGGAGGGAAUGUCCCAUUCUGAUGUCUAACUAAAAGUUGUGAUCUUCUUCUUUCUCUUUAGCCUCUUGAGAGGGCUAGUGUAAAAUUCUCUACCGUAUAUCUGAAUGCUUGCAAAUCUCACUGGCGUGUCACUCUUCAGAACAGCUGGCUCCUCCGUUCCAAAUUUGGCAUCAAUCCUGUGUCAGGAGUAGAAGAAGGGAGCUUCGACUGAGGGUGAUAAGCAAAUCAAAGAAGUCAAGUGU